GUUUGAUCAUGGCUCAGGAUGAACGCUAGCGGCAGGCCUAAUACAUGCAAGUCGAACGGGGUGGUUCAGCAAUGGAUCAUUCAGUGGCGCACGGGUGCUAACGCGUAUGCAACCUACCUUAAACUGGGGGAUAGCCUUCCGAAAGGGAGAUUAAUACCGCAUAAGAUCACACGAGGGCAUCUGAGAGUGAUUAAAGAUUUAUUGGUUUAAGAUGGGCAUGCGUGCAUUAGCUUGUUGGUGAGGUAACGGCUCACCAAGGCUACGAUGGCUAGGGGUUCUGAGAGGAUGAUCCCCCACACUGGUACUGAGAUACGGACCAGACUCCUACGGGAGGCAGCAGUAGGGAAUAUUGGGCAAUGGACGGAAGUCUGACCCAGCCAUGCCGCGUGCAGGAUGAAGGCCUUCUGGGUUGUAAACUGCUUUUAUCUAGGAAGAAAACACCCAUGCGUGGGAAACUGACGGUACUAGAUGAAUAAGCACCGGCUAACUCCGUGCCAGCAGCCGCGUAAAUACGGAGGGGUGCAAGCGUUGUCCGGAUUUAUUGGGUUUAAAAGGGUGCGUAGGCGGCCCGUUAAGUCAGUGGUGAAAGCUCCAGCUCAACUGAGAACUGCCAUUGAUACUGACGGCUUGAGUACAGACGAGGUUGGCGGAAUUGAUUGUGUAGCGGUGAAAUGCAUAGAUACAUCAAGAACUCCGAUUGCGUAGGCAGCUAACUAGGCUGUAACUGACGCUGAGGCACGAAGCGUGGGGGAGCGAACAGG
RNAcentral lists this ribosomal RNA (761 nucleotides) under uncultured bacterium. RNAcentral describes it as "bacterial SSU rRNA". It matches the Rfam family "Bacterial small subunit ribosomal RNA", at positions 11 to 776 of the family's 1533-position model. The record is from RNAcentral.